This 549-nucleotide ribosomal RNA is filed under the name uncultured bacterium. RNAcentral's name for it is "bacterial SSU rRNA". It matches the Rfam family "Bacterial small subunit ribosomal RNA", at positions 355 to 896 of the family's 1533-position model. The record is from RNAcentral.
UGGGGAAUAUUGGACAAUGGGCGAAAGCCUGAUCCAGCCAUGCCGCGUGUGUGAAGAAGGCCUUUUGGUUGUAAAGCACUUUAAGUGGGGAGGAAAAGCUUAUGGUUAAUACCCAUAAGCCCUGACGUUACCCACAGAAUAAGCACCGGCUAACUCUGUGCCAGCAGCCGCGGUAAUACAGAGGGUGCAAGCGUUAAUCGGAAUUACUGGGCGUAAAGCGCGCGUAGGUGGUUAUUUAAGUCAGAUGUGAAAGCCCCGGGCUUAACCUGGGAACUGCAUCUGAUACUGGAUAACUAGAGUAGGUGAGAGGGGAGUAGAAUUCCAGGUGUAGCGGUGAAAUGCGUAGAGAUCUGGAGGAAUACCGAUGGCGAAGGCAGCUCCCUGGCAUCAUACUGACACUGAGGUGCGAAAGCGUGGGUAGCAAACAGGAUUAGACACCCUGGUAGUCCACGCCGUAAACGAUGUCUACCAGUCGUUGGGUCUUUUAAAGACUUAGUGACGCAGUUAACGCAAUAAGUAGACCGCCUGGGGAGUACGGCCGCAAGGUUA